Long non-coding RNA from Brienomyrus brachyistius, 416 nucleotides. RefSeq lists it as uncharacterized. The record is from RefSeq and is a predicted model, not a curated record. The transcript has 3 exons. NCBI's taxonomy places the organism in Eukaryota, Metazoa, Chordata, Actinopteri, Osteoglossiformes, Mormyridae.
GCCUUGCUCAAGUGUGCUACGAAUCUGCUCAUGGCGGCUGGGAUAGCGACAUAAUCCGAAGAGCAACAAAGGACACCAACUCUUCAAUGCACUAAAUGCAAGGAGUGAAGCCAGGGUGAGCAGACAGAGGCAGCAGAGUAUCAGCAGCAGCCAGGGGGCGCCGUUCCCAGUUUUCUCCUCAUCAGGGUAGCUGUCCGCUGUAGGAACAAAGCGGAAGAAGAUAACUAUGGGUCUGGUUAAACCUAACCCGAUACUCACAGCACUGGAAGUCACAGUGAAGGACUUGGACGGAGAAGUUGACAUCAGUCCGUCUCACCUUUCAAAGGAGAAGCACACAAACAGUGAUCAGGCUUGGCUGUGGAGCCGGUGACCCGAGCUGAUGCUAUUUCGAUGUUGGGAGAGCAAUCAUACCUGAA